RNAcentral lists this unclassified non-coding RNA (260 nucleotides) under Hevea brasiliensis (rubber tree). Lineage: Eukaryota; Viridiplantae; Streptophyta; Magnoliopsida; Malpighiales; Euphorbiaceae. The record is from RNAcentral.
GUGGAGUGAUAACUCUUGGUUUUUGAGGUUUCUCCAUGGGAUUAAUGAGUGUACAAAUGAAAAGAAGUGCGAUCGCGAAGGCAAUAAUUCCAAAUCCUAUAAGGAAUUUGAGGUUGACGCUGAAAAUGCGAAUUAAGCUGUUAUUUCUAGUUUUAUCCUUCCGUAGAAUACGAUUAGGAUUACGGAUUUGGGGAUUUUCAGUGGAAGAUUUCGAAGCUCUGCUCCGAGUACUUCCCCGUGAAGUUCCCGCCAUUGUUGAU